UCCGGCUUCGGGCUGGGGCCCGGGGCAGGCUUUGGGUCGGGCGUGGGCUUGGGGUCAGGCUUCGGCCCCGGUUUAGGGUCGGGCUGCGGGUCUGGUUUGGGGUCGGGCUUGGGUGCUGGGUCAGGUUUCGGCGCCGGUUUAGGGUCGGGCUUGGGUGUUGGGUCAGGUUUCGGCGCCGGUUUAGGGUCGGGCUUGGGUGUUGGGUCAGGUUUUGGCACCGGUUUUGGGUCGGGCUGUGGGUCUGGUUUUGGUUCAGGUUUUGGCGCUAGUUUAGGGUCGGGCUUGGGAGUCGGGUCAGGUUUCGGCGCCAGUUUAGGGUCGGUCUGCGGGUCUGGUUUGGGGUCAGGCUGUGGCGUAGGCUUGGGCUCUAGGCUGGGCUCAUGCUUCAGCCCCGGCACCCUCCCAGCGACGGCGAGGCUUGCAACAUUUGCCGCGACGAGGGCCAAGAGCAAGCACAGCGAGAAGGCAGUUGCCCUCAUCGUCGCCGCUCACUGGCUAGCUAGCUGCUCACUCAGGUCACUCUCCUUGUGUGUGUCACCGGAAUCACACUUGGCUGUGUGAGUGUGCGGCAGACGUAGUAGAGGAUUUAUAGGCCCGACGAGCGAGCCGACGCCGGACGCGUGUCCAUCGCCUUUGCGAGCCCGUGACCGGCACGGUGACCAGCUACAGUGACAUCUCUCAGCUUUUGUUCAUGUCACCUUUGCAUGGCAUGCGCGCACCGGCCAAAUCAUCCAGCAGAAAAGAGCCAAAGGAUCCACGAGACGGCAUGGAUCGACGGACACGUACGCGGGCAAUUUUUGCGAGAUCUAGGACCCCGCCCGGACACGAACAAGUGGCACGUACGCAUGCAUGCAAAGAGCCGGUCCCCAGCUCCACCUUCGUCUUCUUCCAUUGUCUCUGCUUUUGCUACGCGCUCCUUCUCGAUUACUCGAUCCGUCGGAGAGACAAUGCUCUUAAGGCCAACUCCACCCCGCGAUCUCAAACGGACGUCCGCUUUGACCGAAUUCUGUCCCUUUGGGUAGAGCGAUGUGGUUGUGUCCGGGCCUGUCCUGGGAUCCGGUGGCCGUGCGCCCAGCGCGCGGCCGCAUCCGUUUGCCCCAUCCCGUCCACCAGGGCCUAAAAUGCUCAUAUUUUCAUAUGAAAACAAGUUUGCAUGUCCAAAUAUCAAUUGUUUGAAAAUUAAGAUAGUUUUACAACCCAAUCGAAAUUGUCUCUAAUAAAAAUAGUUUUAAAACCAAAUUGAAAUUGUUUUGAAUGAACAUAAAAUGAACCAAUUCAUCUAUCGGUUGCCAAUAUGAUCCCACCCGUGCUCAACCAAGUCAUUUUGAAAAUCCACAUGAGUGUGCCAAUCACGUAGCUCACGAUGGAACUGGACAAACUGAUCAAGCGUGGCCGGUUCUUGGUGCAGGGGCUCAACAUUGUCACCUUGAAAAUCAAAUCCUUGGUCGAAGAUACUGUCAUCACGCUCGUCCUCGACGAUCAUGUUGUGCAUGAUCCCACAAGCAGUCAUCACCUCCCAAAGCUUCCUUUCAUCCCAUGACAGUGCAGGGUAUCGAACGAUGCCCCAUCGGGAUUGAAGCACACCAAAAGCACAUUCCACAUCCUUUCUAGCACUCUCUUGCAUUUGGGCAAAUCUCUUUCUCUUCUCACCUUGGGGCUUCGAGAUUGUCUUCACAAAAGUUGACCACUGAGGAUAUAUAACAUCAACUAGAUAGUAUCCUUUGUUGUACUGGUGGCCGUUGAUCUCAAAGUUGACAGGUGGGGAGCGGCCUCCCGCAAGCCUCGCGAAGACUGGAGAACGCUGCAACACGUUGAUAUCAUUGUGAGAACCUGCCAUGCCGAAAAAAGAAUGUCAUAUCCAAAGAUCCUGCGAUGCCACCGCUUCUAAUAUGAUAGUGCACUCGUUGACAUGCCCCUUGUAUUGGCCCUGCCAAGAAAAUGGACAGUUCUUCCACUCCCAGUGCAUACAAUCUAUACUGCCAAGCAUGCCUGGCAAGCCUCUAGCUGCGUUGGUCGCCAACAAUCUCUCUGUAUUAGCGGCAGUUGGCUGCCUCAAGUACUCUGGGCCAAACACCUCGAUCACAGCCUCGCAGCACUUGUACAUUGACAUCAGACAUGUUGUCUCACUCAUACGCACGUACUCAUCAACCAGACCGCCUGGAAUUCCAUACGCAAGCAUGCAGAUGGCCGCGGUGCCUUUCUGGUAAGAGGAGAAUCCAAGCUUGCCAAGGGCAUCCGUCUUGCACUCGAAAUAUGGGUCAUGAGCAACCACUCCCUCUCGGAUACGAUUGAACACAUGCCUUGCCAUUCGAAAACGGCGACGGAAUUUAUCCGGCUUGAAGAGCGGUUUGUUGGAAAAGUAAUCGACAUAAAGCAGGGCGUGGCCUCUCUCCCUGUUGCGGUUCAUGUUGGGAGCACGGCCAGGGACUGACCCCCUUGUAAGGGCAUAUUUAUUCCUAAGUGUUUUGGUGAUUGAUGACAAUGCUUUUGCGGACUAAUCGUGUGCCUUGAGUCCCUCAGAUACUUUAUCAUUAGGCACAAGAUGAUUCGGUGCCCCUCGGAGACUGUUGAAGCCGGCGUUGUUCUACGUUUCUCUUUGGUGGAGUUGAGUCGUAGGAGAGCCGUACUAUUAAGAGGGGGUCCGCGUCGGAAAGGUAGGGUGGAAUCACAUGUACACUUGUCCCUCCUUUCCUUGCACUUUGGAGCUACCCGUUGUUAUCUUGGUUGUGCGGAAAACUGGCGACUACUGCUGUACUUGCGGUAGUACCGCAGGUACAAGCGGUAGUACCGCGGCGUGUCACGGUAGUACUGCCCUUUUGGUGCGGUAGUACCGCGGCACCCUGGCCUUGUGCCGCUCCGGUGCGGUAGUAGGGGCGGAUGUAAUUUUUUACAUCCGCGCCCCCCACGGUAGUACCGCUCGUCCAGCGCGGUAGUACCGCGGGCGCCCACGGUAGUACCGCUCCCUUGGAGUCGCAGUACCGUGGCCCUUCGACCUAGUACCGCAGUGUCGCGGUAGUAGGCGCGGAUGUAAUUUUUUACAUCCGCGCCGGCCACGGUAGUACCGCGCCUCGCAAGCGGUAGUACCGCGUCGGGUUUUUGCACCACCCCAGUUUCAGCGGAAGUAGGCACGGAUGUAAUUUAUUUCAUCCGCGCCCUUCCCAGGCCGUGACCCUCCUGCCUUGCGGUAGUACCGCAAGGGGGAGCGGUAGUACCGCGCCAGCGGUAGUACUGCUCUUUCGCCAGGCUUGUUCCGGCCUGUGCUGUUGCCGCGGUAGUACCGUGGUCGACCACGGUAGUACCGCGCGGCCUCGCAGUAGUACCGCUUCCUUGGAGCGGUAGUACCGUGAGUCGCGGGCUGAACAUGUGGAUAACGGUUGGAUUUUUUCCACGACUAUAUAAGGGGUAUCUUCUACCUCUAGUUGACUACCUCUUCCACCUCUAAGCUCCAUUGUUGCUCCAAGCUCCAUUUUCGCCCGAUCUCUCUCCCUAGCCAAUCAAACUUGUUGAUUUGCUCGGGAUUGGGUGACAAGGGCCCGAUCUACACUUCCACCACAGGAUAUUUGAUUCCCCCCACUUAUCCCUUGCGGAUCUUGUUACUCUUGGGUGUUGAGCACCCUAGACGGUUGAGGUCACCUCGAAGCCAUACUCCAUUGUGGUGAAGCUUCGUGGUGUUGUUGUUGUUGGGAGCCUCCGAUUGUUGUGGAGAUUGCCCCAACCUUGCUUGUAAAGGUUCGGUCGCCGCCUUCAAGGGCACCAAUAGUGGAAUCACGGUAUCUCGCAUCGUGUGAGGGCGUGAGGAGAAUACGGUGGCCCUAGUGGCUUCUUGGGGAGCAUUGUGCCUCCACACCGCUCUAACGGAGACGUACUUCCCCUUAAAAGGAAGGAACUCCGGUAACACAUCCUCGUCUCCACCGGCUCCACUCUUGGUUAUUUCGUGCCUUUACUUUCGCAAGCUUACUUGUUGUUACAUCUCUUGCUUGCUUGCGUGCUAGUUGAUAUUGCAUCAUAUAGGUUGCUCACCUAGUUGCACAUCUAGACAACCUAUUUUGUUGCAAAGUUUAAUUUGGUAAAGAAAAGCUUAAAAAUUGUUAGUUGCCUAUUCACCCCCCCUCUAGUCAACCAUAUCGAUCCUUUCACCCCUGUACCGAGGAAGCUGCCGUUGAAUGUGGUCGUGAACAACCAAUGCAGCCACCACAAGAUCCUCAUCAUCUGACGACGAAUCGUCCGAUGAACAAAGGAAGUGGUGGAAGAAAAACUCGUCUCCACUGUCCAUACCUUUGUGGGCAAAAUGUCGAACACCUUGCGGUCGUGGUGGCGAAGAGGCCGCGAUGAUCACCUCGACGCAGCAGGGGUGGUUGCCGGCCGGCUACUGUCCGCUCUAGAGCUGUCGGAAGCUGUCGCGGCCGCCGUGGUACGUCAUCGGCGGUCAUGUCCCCUCUGCCAUCGGCAAAGACGGCGAUGGCCAAAACUCCUCCGAUCGACGACCAAAACUACGGCGAAAGCGCGGGCGUGGUGGCGGCCAUGUCGAGACGUGGUUUGGUAUGGACGGCCGGGGGUUGCGCGGUGAGGAGGUGUCCGGAGAAUAGCGGCAGCGCUGGCAGCAGGGUGNNNNNNNNNNNNNNNNNNNNNNNNNNNNNNNNNNNNNNNNNNNNNNNNNNNNNNNNNNNNNNNNNNNNNNNNNNNNNNNNNNNNNNNNNNNNNNNNNNNNNNNNNNNNNNNNNNNNNNNNNNNNNNNNNNNNNNNNNNNNNNNNNNNNNNNNNNNNNNNNNNNNNNNNNNNNNNNNNNNNNNNNNNNNNNNNNNNNNNNNNNNNNNNNNNNNNNNNNNNNNNNNNNNNNNNNNNNNNNNNNNNNNNNNNNNNNNNNNNNNNNNNNNNNNNNNNNNNNNNNNNNNNUGCAUCGCGGCCGUCCGCGCGCGUCCGUUUCACCCCAAACCGAGCGUAACUUUGGGCCGGGGAUGGGUCAAAAACGGACGGAAUCCGGACAUUUGUCCGUUUGAGGCCGCACGUUGGGCCGCGCUAUUCGUCCGUUUUACCCCAAACGGACGCACCCAGACAAGAUGGGGUCACGCGGUGGAGUUGGCCUUAUGCCAACCGCAACAGCCCACCCACUUAAUCCACGCGCGUCAAUUUGUGUUAAAACAGACAAAAAUCGCAACCCAACGCGUCGACGCAAACCAAUGAACGUCCUUUUUUCCAUUUGCGACCAAUUUUUGGUUUGAAUUUGGACCGGAUUUGUAUCGGCGUGGACACGACGUCGACAUGCAUGAUGCUCUCUCUUGUUCCCUUCCCUGGUCCGUCCGUCGGUGGCACAUCUCCAUUUUCGCUCUUCCUCCUACAGACCCGACACCCUCCAACCAUGUCCGCAAGGCGUUCGGCGUUUUGCCCGCAAGGUACCAUGGACAGUGGGAUGAGUCUUUUUCAAUAACUUCAUUUGUUCAUUGCAUGAUUCAUCAUCGGACAAUGAGCAUUUUGUGGUUGCGACUAUGGUUGUCAAUGACCACAUUGCUAGGCAGCAUGCGAGGUUUAGGGGAUCGAUCAUGGGUCAUGCUCCAGCGUUGAACCACGAUAGAGAGAGCGGCCAUUGCCUACUCUACGCCAGUUACUUUUAGUGCACGUCCCCACUCUUCAAUCCCAAGCUUUUCCGGCGCCGUUUUCGGAUGGCGAGACAUGUGUUCAACUGCAUACGGGAGGGAGUGAUGGGGUAUGAUGAUUACUUUAGAUGCAAGGAGAUGCCCUUUUAGGUUGGAUUAUCCUCUUAUUAAAAAUGCAUUGCAGCUAUUCGGAUGCUUGCUUAUGGAAUCCCCGAUGAUCUUGUGGAUGAGUAUGUCCGUAUGAGCGAGUCCACAUGCCUUGCAUCAUUGUACAAGUUUUGCGAGGCUGUGAUAGCACUGUUUGGCCAAAGUACCAGAGAGAGCCAAAUGCUGUGGAUACACUCCGGUUGUUGGCGGUCAAUGCAGAGGUUUUUUUUUCGAGAAUGCUUGGUAACAUAGAUUGAAUGCACUAGAAGUGGCAAAAAUUUUCAUUUGCUUGGAGGGGCGGUAUAAGGCGCAUGUUAAGCUUGAUCAGUCAUACUUGAAGUUGUCGCUUCACAAGAUCUUUGAAUUUGGUACUCUUUUUUGGUACGACUUGUUCCCACAAUGACAUCAACACACUUCAGCGCUCUCCGUUGUUCGGAAGGUUUGCAGAAGGCAAUUGCUGGGUGGUCGACUUGAAGAUCAAUGGCCACAACUACAAUAAAGGAUACUACCUAGCUGAUGGUAUCUAUCCUGAGUGGUCAAUACUUGCAAAGACAAUCUUCAAUCUAGUAGGAGAGAAGAGGGCCAGGUUUUCCCAAACACAAGAGAGUGCUAGGAAGGAUGUGAAGCUUGCUUUGGGUGUGCUUCAAUCUCGAUGGGCUAUCGUUCGACACCCUGCUACAAUAUGAAGCCAGUAUAAGAUGUGGACGGUGAUGACUACUUGUGUGAUCAUGCACAACAUGAUCAUAGAUUAAGAGCGUGAUGACAACAUCUUCAACGAAGGGUUUUAAUUUCUGGGUGAAAAUGUUAUGCAUGAGCAUGGACCGGCAACGCUUGCACAGUUCACCAAAUUUCAUCAUGAAAUGCGUGAUUGGGCAACUUACAUUCAACUCUAAAAUGAUAUCGUUCAGCACAUAUAAACUCAUCUAGGCAAUAAAUAGAUGUAUCGUAUCUUUUUCUUUUAAUAUAUUCGUGACGAUUUGAAUUUGAUGUAAACUAUGAGAUUUUUAUUUGGUUGUAAACUCUUUAUUAUUAUGAUGUAACACUAUGUGAUUUAUUUUGUGUGCAAUGUAUAUUUAGUUAGAUUAUAUGCAUGAAAGUCUAAAAUUUUGUGUAAAUUUGGCGUGUCUACUGGCUGGGUGGACCAAAUGAGCAGUCUGAUUGGGCGCACUACUCAGCAAAACGCGGGCGCGAGCGGAAGCCGCCCCUUCGGCCGAUCCAAAUGGACAAAAGGCAGAUCAAAUCCGCGUUCAUUUUAGUCGACAUGUUGAAGUUGGCCUUAAUUGCCUGGCACCACUCUUCCUUCAAAAACGAAGAAAUAGUUCCUUGUUCAUGUCCAUCUAUGCUAGCAAUUUCCUUUCUUGUCCAUCCAUACUAGCUAAUACUAUUCGUUCCACGAGAAAUUUAAGAUGAUCUCAAAGUAACAAGAGCCAUUAAUUCUCUUAGAUCCAAGAGAUGAUCCUCUAUUAAUGAAACCACGUGGCCAAUAGGACACUGUACUACGUUCAAAUAUGAAAACAAAUAUAAUAUUUUAAGACAACUAAGGAAAGACAUGAAAAUGGACUCCAACAGCGAUCUGAAGUUCGAUCUGGGGUGGUUUUCUUUUACGUAAAGUUCGAUCUGGGGUGUAAACCGAGGAAACAAAUCGUUCCCAUCAGAAGGUAGGAUCGAUCGAACGAUUUCAGAUACUCAGAAACCCCCGUGCAACCUCAGGCUAAACCCAGCCCACAACAGUGAUCAAGUCCAGUUGGACCAAAAAGCCCAAUUUUCAUUUGAUACACUAGCAUGCCUUAAAGACUGGAAUUCACACUUGACUCCAAAUAAAUAAAAAACAUUAUAAAUUGUCCUAAUUUAGGAAAAUCAUGGCAAAUUUAUACAAAUCAGAUGACAAGUUUAGAGAAAUCUUUUGUCCUAAAUCAUAACAAUAUUGCUGGAAUGAUAUUGUUUCUGAAGUAUGGUAAAUUUGUCGAUGGCAAUGUUUGAUGCAAUCAAAAAAAUACAAACAACCCAUUGGUUGGAUGCAUGUUUUGAACAUAAGUUUGCUAGGCCAAAAUGUGAUACAUAAAAUUUUACAAUUACCAUGCAUGAGAACUAAAUCUGUCGUAUCUUAGAAACAAAACAAGAAAACUUAACGAUUAAUAUUUGAACCAAAGUUGCCAUUGUUUCAUAUGAUGAAGGUGAAAGUGCGUUAUAUCGACUAGAGGGGGGGGGGUGAAUAGGCGAUUUUUAUGAAUUCUUCACUGAGGAAUUUGCUGGUGAGGAAAUUCCUUAGCGAAGAACUACUUGCAGCGGAAUGAGUACUCAGAAGUAAACAUAACAUGAUACAAACAUAGUCAUCAUGAUGAAAUGAAGACUAGCACAGAGUACAGAAAGCGUAAACACAGGAUAACAAGAUGAAGACAAACAGACUGAAGAAAUUGAACUGAGGAAUUUGUGAAAGUCUUCAGUCAAAGUCUUCAAACACAGAUAUGAACAACAUACAACACAGUCAUGAGGAAAUGAAAGAGUUAAGGAAAUAGAACCAGUUAGUUGAUGAAGACAAUGAUUUGGUAAACCAGUUCCAACUGCUGUCUUAGUUGUACGUCUGGUUGGAGCGGCUGAGUAUUUAAACUCGAGGACACGCAGUCCCGGACACCCAGUCUCUGAGCCGCAACUCAGGACACCCAGUCCUCACCGUAUUCUCCUUGAACUAAGACCACGUAGGCCUCGUCCAAUCACUCGUGGUAAGUCUUCAGGUGACUUCCAAACCUUCACAGACUUGGUCACUCGGCGAUCCACAAUUCCUCUUGGAUGCUCUAGACCUUGGCGCCUAACCGUCUGGAAGAAGCACAGUCUUCAAAGGUAACAAGCGUCGGAUCCAUGUAGGAUCAAUUUCUUCAGUGAUGCUCAAUCACUUUGGGUUUGUGGGGGUUUGGUUUUGGGAUUUUCCUCACUUGAUGAUUUUCGCUCAAAGUCCUCGGAGGAUGGGUUGCUCUCAAAUGACAAGUGUCAAGUUCUCUCGGAGUAGCCAACCAACUAGUGGUUGUAGGGGGCGGCUAUUUAUAGCCUAGGGAGCAGCCCGACAUGAUAAGACAUAAAUGCCCUUCAAUGAUAUGACCGUUAGGUGGAUAAGAUAUUUUGGACAACCGGCGCGCAGCACAGCAACGGUCGGAAAUUUGACUCUCAAAUUCCUCAGGGCUAUCAUGUUCCUCACUGUGUAGGCAAUUCGCACUGGCAAAUUCCUAACUCCUCAGUCAGAGCAAAGUCCUCAGUGACCAGAAGAACUGCGUCUCUGUCACUGAAGAAAUUGACUGAACUGUAUGAGAUUUCCAAUGGCUUCACUCGAAGGGAUUGGUAGGUGUAGGAUUUUGAGUUGAGCAUCACAUGGAAAUUUUUCCUUAGUAUUUCCUCGACCCCCUUUAACAGUACGGUGUUUCCUAUGACUCAAGAAAGAGAAAAUGAAACUACGAAAACAAAAGUCUUCACGCUCCAUAUUCCUCGAAUGAAUACCAAGUCUUCAAGGUCACACCAAUUUCUUCACUUUCAAAGUCUUCAGAAAGUCUUCAGAAUAUCAAAGUCUUCAGUCGAAGAACUUCAUUUUUAGGGGUCGACUUUCUCUGUAAAUAUCAAACUCCUCAUAGACUUAUAGACCUGUGUACACUCACAAAUGCAUCAGUCACUUAACAUAUAAGUCUUCAAUACACCAAAAUCACUAAGGGGCACUAGAUGCACUUACAAUCUCCCCCUUUUUGGUGAUUGAUGACAACAUAGGUUAAGUUUUCAACGGGGAUAAACAUAUGAAGUGUAAAUACUGAUAUUGAGGAAUUUGAUUGGAAGAUAUAGAAGAACUCCCCCUGAAUAUGUGCAUAGUGAGGAAUUUGCUUUUGAGGCAAUGCACAUUUGAAGAAUUGAAUCAUGGAGAUCUCCCCCUAUAUCUUGUAAUUCAUACACGCAUUUGAUAUAUAUAAUAUGAAGAAUUUGAAAUGCAUGAUGAAAUAUGGUGCCUGAUGAGAUUCAGCAUGCGUGCAAUAAUAUUAAUGAGGAAUAAGCAUGCAGAAUAACACAUCAAAAGUAUCAGAGCACAGUGCAAAGUCAGCACAAUGCACCGUUCAAAAGUAUCAGGGCACCAUCGGAUUUAAGAUUACAACUCGAUCCAAUAAAAGUUUCGGAAGAACGAGAGUUGUAACUUAACAAAACGCCCAUAAUAUAAACCCGCUUGAAGACUAACUCAGAUUUCUCCCCCUUUGUCAUCAAAUGACCAAAAGGAUCAAAACUGAGGACUAACGCCCCUGAAGAAUUUCAAGUCGAUGGAGGAGCGCCAGCGUUGUCGGGGUUGUUUGUUGAAGAAGGGCCUGCCGCAGUGUCGUCCAAAUCUUCAUGUUCAUCAGUUUCACGCGAUGAAGAAUAAGAACUGGCCACCAGAUCAGGAACUUUGACUCUCUUAAAUUUCUUCGGAGGUGGUGUAGACCAGUCAAAUGCUUCCUUGAGACCCAUAGUCUUCAGUUCUUCCGUGGAAUAUACAUGAGUGAGAACAGCCCAGGUGCGGUUGAGGGUUUCAUGAAGGUGAUACUGAUUUUUCUUCACUGCAUUAUGGGUUGAGGUCAUGUUGUGAAGAAUUGCAGCAAAUUGACGUUUCACCCAUUUGUGAUUGCGAUCAACCUUCUGAUGAAGACUGAGGAGUAACUCACGGUCAGUCAUCACCCUGGGUGCUGUUGCUUGAGGCUUUUGCUUGGCUGAUGUAUUUGCGGCAGUGUCAUGUGUUGCAGAAUCGUCAUUGGUGGAGUAAGAUGUAGCUAGACGGAAUUGACCAUCCAAUGGACGAGUGCCUUCAUCGAUCACAGCAGCUGCCUUGCCCUUAUCAUCAGAUGAUGAAACUAGUCGCUUGAGGACUUCAAUGGGCGGCAAGUAGCUACCAUGGUUCAGAGUGUCAGCCUUGUAAUUCAGUGAAGAUCUUGCCCUUAUGAAUCUCAUAAUCCAAGGCGCAUAGGGCUUCAGCUCAAAAGGUGACAUAGCAACAUUAGCCAGAGUCCUCAUGAAGAAAUCAUGGAGGUUGACGGGAACGCCAUGAAUGAUGUUGAAAAGCAUGUUCUUCAUGAUGCCAACGACAUCUUCAUCAUUUGAGUCGUGGCCUUUGAUAGGACUCAUUGUCUUCGUCAGGAUGCGAUAGACAGUCCGAGGCACAUAUAGCAGUUCCUUGACGAGGAAUUUGGUUCGUGGGGCCUGCCCUGGCUUCAAAGGCUUCAUGAGCACUUGCAUAUAAUGAUCUGUCAGUUCGCGGUCAUUGUAGAUGCAACGUGCACUGUCAUGGGGAGGAUCAAGAGGAAGGACACGAAGCAAUUCAGUUGCUGGUGCCUUAUAGUGAGUGUUUUCUGUCAUCCAAUCCAGCACCCAUGAAUUGACAUCUUCAGCAUCUCCGGUGAUAUGCAAAGUGGCAUAGAACUAAAGAAUGAGUUCUUCAUUCCAAUCACAGAUAUCAGUGCAAAAAUUCAGUAGUCCUGCAUCGUGAAUAACUCGGAGGACUGGCUCGAAGCACGACAGAGAUUCCAUAUCCACAUAAGGAAUGUGCUCAUGAUCGAAGAUUUUGUCCUUGUCAAAGAGCACGGAGGAAUAGAAGUUGGCUUGAGUAGCAGUCCAGAAACGUCUUUUCCUUAUGCGAGCAGAGUCAUAUGGAUUGUAAUCAGUGAAGAACACAUGCUCAGAAAAGAAGUCUUCAGCCUUGAAUUUUUGCUUGCUAGAGAACGGAUUCUUCGGUUUUGGCAGAGGAGUGUCAGUGAUUUGCAGCAGAACCUCAGGAAUCACGAUCUCAGGUGCUUCGGGCUGAGGAAUUUCUGGUUCCUCUUCUUGUGCAGUUUGGGGAUCAGCAGCAGCAGGUUCUUCAGCACUAGCGGCUGGAAUUUCUUCAUGAAUCAGACGAUAUGGGAUGAGUUUCUUCAGAGCCCAUUUGAACAGUUGUAGCCGGGGCCUGAGGAAUUUGUUGAAUAGGAGUGAAGAGAGGAGUAUUGGGAUGCUGACUUUCCCAAAAGUCAUCGUUCAUCACUGGUGUAGUGCAUCCAAUAUCCACAUCUUCUUCUUCUUUUUCAAUUUCCUCAACACCAGCCUCUUCAGCUGUGAACUGAGGCAUAGGUGAGGAAACGACUGGCGUUGAAGGGAAUGUUACCACUUCAAUUUCUUCAUCAAACUGCUCUGAGGUAGCAACAGAAUGAUUUUCUUCAUCAGAUCCGCUUGGGAUUUUGUAGUCUUCUCCAUAAGGAACAAUAUCCUUUGAUGACAUGGAGGAAAUUGGAAUGGCAUCAAUAGGAUUUUCAAGCGAGCUGGUCAUUGGUUUCAUUUUCUUUGCGGCCGAAGAAUUUGACGCAGCUGAUGCCUUCCUUUUCUUCACUACAGCUCGCUCUGCAGCCUUGGUCUUCUUCACUUCAUAGGCAGAAGGAAGAAUUGGAGUUGGUGUUGGCGCAGGAGGAGUUGAGGACUGUGGUUCAUUUUCAUCAGGCGCAACAGGUGCAGUUGCCCUGAUCUCUUCAGUUUCUUCAGGCGCACCACUAGUGGAUGCCCUGGGAAUUUCUUCAACGGCUGGAAUGGAGUCAUCAGCCCUGGAACUUGUAUUCUCAUCAGCGGGCUAAAAGUCAUCAGCAGUGCUGGCAUGUUCUUCAGCAGGCUGAGCAGAGUCUGCAGCCUGAGGAUUUUCUUGUUGCGAUGGGGCUGCAACAGUUGUCAUUUUCUUCGUCAAAUUGACGAAUCUCACUUUGGCUCCUUGCCAAUCAGCAUUGUAUGCAUCGAAAUCUUUGCUGAGGGCUUGGAUCUCAGAUUGAGCCUUGAGAAGUUCUUCAGGUGUCGGUCUGACAACGUUCUUCUUCAGAAGCUUCUCCUUUCUAGCUUGUGCUCUCUUUAUCUCACGAGCCUUUUCAAACUUCCAUUUCUCUUGAGCGAUGAAAUGGGUUAGCAUAUGACUUUGACCAGGAGUCGGAGGCAGAUCAGGCAUUGGAGUGUUUGGAUCCUUAUGCCAUAAGUCAAUAUAAUCGAGGAUCUUCUUCGGAUCCAAAAGCAGAGGCACAGGUGUUUCUUUGGCUCUAGCGGCCUUUGCUUGUCUAUCUCUGAUGAUUUCUGCAAGUUCUUCAUCAGAAGCCUCACCAUCAGAGGGCACUUGGAAAGCAACCUGUUUCUUUCUUGGACUUGGCCGAGGACCGCGUCCAGCUGUUGCUUUUGUCUUCAGCAGAGUGGGGCCUGAUGAGGACAUUGGUGCAGCUGAGGAACUCGCUGAGACACCAGAAGCAAUUGAGAAACCCUGAGUCCUUUGACAUGUAGCCAGAUGCACAUGAGUUGAGGACUUGGAGGGAGCUGCCGAGGACUUUGGUGGAGCAGCAGUAGUAUGAGGAAUUUGCCGUGAGGGCGCGGCUGAGGAACUUGGCCAUGAGGGCGCUGAUGGUGAAGCACUUGGCUUGCGAGCAGGCUUCUUCGGCAUUGAUUUCCUCGGCUUGACCGAGGUCUCAGCGGCAGCAGCAGCAGCAACAGAAUCCUCAUUGAAUUUCCUCACUGCCUCCUUGGCUUGUCUUGCCAAUUUUGCUUGGCGCCUAGCCCAUUCUUCAGGAAAGUCUUCACCACUUUUGAUGCUAGUGGGAUCAGCGACUUGGCCAGGUGCCAAUGGAGCUCUUGGGCAUGGAGGAUUUAAGGCGAAUUUCUUCAUGUACUUUGGAGUAACAUAUCGAUAUUCCCUCCAUUCUCGUGCCCAUCUUCGUUCAAUCCUCUGAAUGCGCACUUUGUGCUGAUUCUUGUUUUCUUUGCCAAACUUGGCUUCAUCAGGUGUGCAAUAAUCCUUGUAUAUUUCAUCAGGGAUCUCGAAAGCAGUCAUGACCUCCGGUCUCUUUCCUCCUUUCUGCGGUCUCUUUCCUUCAGCCAUUUUCUUCAGGUGAGGAAUUUGAACAAUUGAACACUCUGAAGAAGUAUGCAGUUUUUCUUCGAGGAACGCUGCAAAUGAGUUAAGUUGAUGAGAACCUAGUGAUUCAGCAGCGGACAUGAGUAACUGUGAACAGAGUGUAGGUGCGAGGAAUUUGGAGAGGUCAUAUGCGUUCUCAGAAGAUUUUUCGAAAAGACAAGUUUUGAGAAAUUUGACCAGUUGAGCCUUGAGGAAUUUCACUAAGCGUUCUUGUCUUAGGUUCCAGAGUUGUACAGAUCGAAAAUCCGCACAAUUGAGGAAUCUUGAAGAAAUGAGUGCUUAGAGAGAUGGAUCAAGAGCAUAUAGUGUGUGAGGUGUUCAUAUGUGAAGAUUUGAAGAAUAAACACCUUUGAGGAUUUCCAGAAGAGUUUGAGAAUCAAAGCGAGUAAUAAAAGUGACUUUUAAUUACCCGAACUGAAGAACACGACGAACAGAGAUGAACAGCGAUGAAGUUCGUCAAGUUAGAUCUCCCACGCCCUAACUUGGCAGAGGGAGACAGCUACGGCGGCGGCGGAGUGAAGAUUUCUGCAGCCGGCGCGAGUACGACGGCGACGAGGUCGAGGCAGUGAAUCUCUUCCUCACCGGCGGCGACGGAGUAGCGGCGGUGCGAGGGUUUGAGGAGAGCUCGAGCGAGAGAUACCGACCGAGCGGAGUAAAUGAAGUAAGGAAGGGGAGAGGGGUAUUUAUAGCUGCGGUAAAAACUGUUCGCCCGAAGAUUUUGGGAUGAACAUGCCCCUGCCCUUUCUUCUUCAUGCGACAUGUGUCACCCACAUACUGUGCAGAUGAGAUCGUGUAAGAUCGUGGGUGAAUAAAAUAAUGCAUCGUGGGAUGCGGAAUGGUUUGAGCGGUAAAACCGAAAAUCUGGAUAAAAUUUGUUUUAAAAUUUCGUUCGCAAUUUCUUCAGCUGACAAGGACACAGUGAAGACUUUGAACGAGUUUCAAUCAGAACGCACAUGAAGAAUUUGUGAAUAGAUUGGGUUGAGUGUAGCAUAGAGGGGGAAGGGUCCGAUCACAUUCACUUAGCAGAAAUCGCAACUUGAAGAAAUAGCAAUAAGUGAAUGCUGUAGAGGACAUAAACUCACACACACAUAUAUAUAUAUAUAUAGCCAAUGAAGAAAAACGACGGAAACAGUGAAGAUUUUGCAAAGUUGAGGAAUUUGAAAGACUGAAGAAUUUCAAAAAUGAGGAAAAACUCAAAUUGAAGAUUUUCAACUUUUGUGGUGGCGUGACCCACCGUAUAAGAAUGAUGAUUUCAGACACCGCGUACAAUUGUCAUAGGGUUCUGAGAAUCAAAUUCUUCAUUAAUUUCUUCACACUUAGAGUGUUAUUCUUCAUUGAUUGAAGAAAAACGUUUCUUCAUGUGUUGCACAUCUAAGUCAUCAAUUCUGCAUAAGGGUUAGGAUGUGUGUCCUCUUCAAAGAACAUUCGAAGAUUCUAAGAUAUUUAGCUCACACCGCAACUUGCUAAAUCUCUUCUCAUUCAAGGGCUUAGUGAAGAUAUCAGCUAGCUGUUCUUCAGUCUUCACAUGCUCGAUGGAGAUGUCGCCCUUCAACACAUGAUCACGAAGAAAAUGAUGAUGAAUCUUGAUGUGCUUAGUCUUCGAGUGCUAAACUGGGUUGUGAGCAAUCUUGAUGGCACUCUCAUUGUCGCAGAGGAGAGGCACAUUCUUCACGUUGACGCCAUAGUCCUUGAGGGUUUGCUUCAUCCAAAGCAGUUGAGCACAGCAUGAGCCAGCAGCAAUGUAUUCAGCUUCAGCAGUAGACAGUGAUACGCAGUUCUGUUUCUUCGAGGACCAACAGACCAAAGAUCGUCCAAGGAAAUGACAAGUGCCAGAUGUUGACUUGCGGUCCACACGAUCACCAGCAUAGUCAGAGUCAGAAUAUCCAAUGAGAUCAAAAGCAGAGCCCUUGGGGUACCAUAAUCCUAGUGUUGGUGUGUGAGCUAGAUAUCGAAGAAUAUGCUUCACAGCCUUAUGGUGUGAUUCCUUCGAUGCAGCUUGAAAUCAGGCACACAUGCAAACACUAAGCAUUAUAUCUGGCCUAGAUGCACAUAAGUACAAUAAGGAACCAAUCAUGGAGCGGUAUACCUUGUGAUCGAAGUCAAUACCAUUUUCAUCAGUGCAUAGAUGACCAUUUGUGGGCAUAGGAAUUUUGACGCCUUUGCAAUCUUGCAUGCCAAAUUUCCUCAGUACAUCUUUGAGGUAUUUCUCCUGAGAUAUGAAUAUGCCAUUGCGCUGCUGACGAAUUUGAAGACCUAAAAAAAAUUUCAACUCUCCCAUCAUAGACAUUUGAUAUUCCUCACUCAUCAUAUAGGCAAAUUCAUCACUAUAACGUUGGUUAGUACAGCCAAAGAUAAUAUCAUCAACAUAUAUUUGGCACACAAACAGUUCACCAUCAUAUGAUUUAGUAAAAAGAGUAGGGUCGAGUGAACCGGGUGUGAAGCCAUUCUUCACGAAGAAUUCCUUCAAUGUAUCAUACCAUGCCCGAGGGGCUUGCUUGAGGCCAUAGAGAGCCUUAUUGAGUCUGAAGACUUUGUCAGGAUUCUUUGGAUCUUCAAAACCUGGGGGUUGAGCAACAUAUACUUCUUCCUCAAGCUUACCAUUGAGGAAUGCACUUUUCACAUCCAUUUGAUAUAAGAUGAUAUCAUGAUGGUUAGCGUAAGCAAGUAAUAUGCGAAUAGCCUCAAGUCUAGCAACAGGUGCAAAAGUUUCAUCGAAAUCAAUUCCUUCAACCUGUGUGUAGCCUUGAGCUACUAAUCGUGCCUUAUUCCUCACCACAAGGCCAUUUUCAUCUUGCUUGUUGCGGUAGAUCCACUUUGUGCCAAUGAUAUUAUGCUUGCGAGGAUCUGGGCGAUUGACCAAUUCCCAGAUAUUGUUCAGCUCGAACUGAUGUAAUUCUUCUUGCAUAGCCUGAAUCCACUCCGGCUCCAGAAAUGCUUCAUCUACCUUAGUGGGCUCUGUGAUAGAGACAAAAGCAUAGUGCCCACAAAAGUUAGAUAAAUGUGAUGCUUUUGAGCGUGUGAGAGGACCUGGUGCGCUAAUGUCAUCGAUGAUCUUCUCCACUUGCACUUCUUUUGCAACGCGUGGAUGUGUUGGUUGUCGCUGAGGAUUUUGAUCAGCAUUUUCUUCAGCACCAUUUUCCUCAUCUUGUUCUUCAGGUGCAUCAGCUCGACAUCCUUCAUGAACAGGAAUGAAUUCUUCAGCGGAUUCUUCACUCGGAAUGACAUCCUCAGUUCCCUUGAGCUUGAUAGCAUCCUCAGGUGCUGCUUCAUCUAACACAGAAGGUAGGUGCUCUCUUUGCGAGCCAUUAGUUUCAUCGAACCGCACAUCUACAGUGUCAACAAUCUUGUGAAGAACAAUGUUGAAGACUCUGUAGGUAUGCGAGUCCUUUCCGUAACCAAGCAUAAAACCUUCAUGUGCUUUCGGUGCAAAUUUAGAGUUGUGGUGAGGGUCUCUAAUCCAACAUUUAGCACCGAAGACUUUGAAAUAACUCACAUUGGGUUUCUUGUCAGUGAGGAGUUCAUAGGCAGUCUUCUUGAAGAAUUUGUGAAGAUAUACUCUGUUGAUGAUGUGGCAAGCAGUAUCAGUUGCAUCAAUCCAAAAACGCUGAGGCGUUUUGUAUUCAUCAAGCAUAGUGCGAGCCAUCUCAACAAGAGUUCUGUUCUUGCGCUCCACGACGCCAUUCUGUUGAGGAGUAUAGGGAGCAGAUAACUCAUGAGUAAUACCAAGUUCAUCAAGAUAUGCAUCAAGACCGGAAUUCUUGAACUCAGUUCCAUUGUCACUUCUGAUAUGCUUGAUCUUCACACCAAAGUUGGUUGAAGCCCUCGAGGAAAAUCGUUUGAAGACUUCCUGCACUUCAUGUUUGUAAGUAACAAUAUGUACCCAUGUAUAUCGAGAAUAAUCAUCAACAAUGACAAAACCAUAUAGAGAUGCAUCAUUAGUGACUGCUGAAUAAUGAUUAGGUCCGAAGAGGUCCAUGUGAAGCAAUUCGAAUGGACGGGUAGUGGUCAUGAUAGUCUUCGCUGGAUGCUUGGCCUUGGUCAUUUUUCCGGCAUCACAUGCUCUGCAUAAGUGAUCCUUGAGGAAUUUGACAUUCUCAAUGCCAAUGACAUGCUUCUUCUUUGCAAGCGUGUUCAGAUUCCUCAUGCCUACAUGACCAAGUCGUCGAUGCCAUAGCCAGCCUUCUGAAGCUUUUGCAAGUAGACACACGGCUGGUUGUGGUCCUGUAGAGAAAUCAACAAUAUACAGAUCUCCUCUCCUAAAGCCUUCGAAGACUUUGGAAUUGUCAGCUUCCAUAAUUACAACACAGUGAUAUUUGCCAAAGACAACAACCAUAUCAAGAUCACAAAGCAUUGAGACUGACAUGAGAUUGUAUCCUAAGGAGUCAACAAGCAUGACUUUGUCCAUGUGCUUAUCCUUAGAGAUAGCAACCUUACCAAGACCCAAUACCUGACUUUUGCCUUUGUCAGCAAAGAUGAUAUGCUUCAGAGGUGAAGGUGAUAAGGGAGCAUCCAUCAAUAGAUUCUUGUCACCAGUCAUGUGAUUUGUACAUCCACUAACGAGGACCCAUUCAGUGGUUUUGGGUUGAUCAUCCUGCAGAUGAAUUAGUGUAACUUACAAUCUCAUAUGCUUCAUCAGUGAAGAAUAUGAUAUCAAGUUCAUCAGAUGAAUUUCAUCAAGCAGUAAACAGAUAUAGCAGUAUUAGGACGUGUGAAAUGAAAGUUCAUUUCAUCAUGAUUCGCCUGUGUCCCUUCAGGAAUUUUUGUCAGGUCCCCAGCAAAUUCUUCAGACGUUAGAGCACAUCUGGAGACCUGACCCUGCAGAAGAGAUUAGUUCUUUUUCUUCACCACCCACAUCUGGAGGGGUGGCAAAGAGUUCAUCAUUCUGCGAGCACCAUAUGAGAAAGGUGACAAAGAUGCCAAAUCAUUUCGCUUCACAUAAGAGGGGUUAGGGUAAGCAUAUGAAUAAGCAGAGUAAUUCUUCGAGGACUUAUGAACAUAAUGGUUUGAAGAAUAAUGCACAUAUUCAUGACCCUUAGCUCUACCCUGCGAGACAGAGUUGUUAGCACGAUGAUAAUCAUAUGAGGACUUUGAUCCAGUUGAGGAAUUUGAUCCAUGUGAAGAAUUUGGUCCAUAUGAGGACUUGGAUCCAUAUGAAGAAUUUGGUCCAUAUGAAGAAUUUGAUCUGGGGUUCCUGUUCUUCACAGGUGGUGUCAUGAGGACAUUCACCUGAAGAUUUUCAACACAACUUUUGGGGACCCAGAUUUUCUUCAUAAGGGAACCGUUCCUGCAGUUAGUGCCAACAUAUCUAGCAAAUACUUCACCAUUCUGAUUUUUGAACAGUUUAUAGUUGGAGUCAAAUGACUCAUCGGAAGAAUGAGGAGAUUCACAUGUAAAGCCAGAUAAGUUAGAUGGAUCAACUGGAGGUCCCUUUGCAGCAACCCAUGAGGUUUUGGGGUACUGCUCAGGCUUCCAAUAUGUUCCAUCGGCAUUGAGUUUCCUCUCAAAGGCAAUACCCUCUUUCCUAGGGUUUCUGUUGAGGAUUUGCUUUUUGAGCACAUCACAAAGUGUCUGAUGCCCUUUGAGGCUUUUGUACAUGCCUGUCAUGUACAAUUCCUUCAGCCCUGCAUUGUCAGUGAUACUAGCAAUGUCCUCAGGUGAGGAAUUAGUGAUAGCAGAGACAGAUGAAGAAUUUGUAAUAGUUGAAGCAUUUGAACAUUCAGGUGAAGAAUUAGCAGAUUCACGUUCAAUGCACUUUAAGCAUGGAGGAACAAAUUCUUCCUGAGAAGCGCUGAUUUGUUGAGCUAGUAAUGAAUCGCGCUCCUUCUGAAGAUCUUCAUAACACACUCUUAGCUUUUCAAGAUCUUCCUUUCUUUGAAGAGAUUCAAGAGAAAGCUUCUCGUGAUCUGUCAAGAGGGUAUUAUGUUGAUCUUGAAGGGCGUCAAGCUUGGAGUGAAUUCUCUGAAGACAUUCACCCAAUGCUUUUGACUGAUCCAUUUCUUUGCGCAACAUAUUAUCACUCUUUUCUAGCAUAUCUUGAGUUUGUUCUAAAACCGUUUGUUGUUUAGUGGCAAUGCAAAUAAGUUUGGUAUAGCAGGAUUCAAUAUCAUCAUCAGAUUCAUCAUUGUCAGAUUCAUCAUUAUCAGAUUCAUUAUCACAAGACUCUGAUGAGGAGCAUUCGGUUACCUCAGCACCGUUUGCCAUGAGACAAGAUGCAGAAGAUGAUGAUUCUGACUCGAAAGUCAUCGUUUUGAGAGAUUCCUUGAAGUCCUCAAACCAGGGAUCAUGACGAGUUCGAUGACCUUCAUAGACAUCAGAGAAUCGGUCCCAGAUGAGCUUCGAAUUGCCAAGAUGCAUAAUUCGCCCGAAUUGAUCUCUAGAUAGGCAGGAGCAGAUGAUAUCCUUCGCUAUGAUGUCAAGUCGAGUGUACUUGCGAAUAUCAUCAGCAUUCGCCAUCUUGCAUAGAUCAGUAAGACCAAUCUCAGUGACGGUCCACAGCUCGCUGUUCUUUGCCAUGAGACGCUUCCUCAUCAUGGCCUUCCACUUGGGAUAGUCAUGACCGUCAAAGAUAGGGCAUGUCACUUUCUUCAUACCUGCGGUCGACAUAACUAAAACUCCAGGCGGUUAAACCAAAAUCACACAGAACAAGGGAGUACCUUGCUCUGAUACCAAUUGAAAGUGCGUUAUAUCGACUAGAGGGGGGGUGAAUAGGCGAUUUUUAUGAAUUCUUCACUGAGGAAUUUGCUGGUGAGGAAAUUCCUUAGCGAAGAACUACUUGCAGCGGAAUGAGUACUCAGAAGUAAACAUAACAGGAUACAAACAUAGUCAUCAUGAUGAAAUGAAGACUAGCACAGAGUACAGAAAGCGUAAACACAGGAUAACAAGAUGAAGACAAACAGACUGAAGAAAUUGAACUGAGGAAUUUGUGAAAGUCUUCAGUCAAAGUCUUCAAACACAGAUAUGAACAACAUACAACACAGUCAUGAGGAAAUGAAAGAGUUGAGGAAAUAGAACCAGUUAGUUGAUGAAGACAAUGAUUUGGUAAACCAGUUCCAACUGCUGUCUCAGUUGUACGUCUGGUUGGAGCGGCUGAGUAUUUAAACUCGAGGACACGCAGUCCCGGACACCCAGUCUCUGAGCCGCAACUCAGGACACCCAGUCCUCACCGUAUUCUCCUUGAACUAAGACCACGCAGGCCUCGUCCAAUCACUCGUGGUAAGUCUUCAGGUGACUUCUAAACCUUCACAGACUUGGUCACUCGGCGAUCCACAAUUCCUCUUGGAUGCUCUAGACCUUGAUGCCUAACCGUCUGGAAGAAGCACAGUCUUCAAAGGUAACAAGCGUCGGAUCCACGCAGGAUCAAUUUCUUCAGUGAUGCUCAAUCACUUUGGGUUUGUGGGGGUUUGGUUUUGGGAUUUUCCUCACUUGAUGAUUUUCGCUCAAAGUCCUCGGAGGAUGGGUUGCUCUCAAAUGACAAGUGUCAAGUUCUCUCGGAGCAGCCAACCAACUAGUGGUUGUAGGGGGCGGCUAUUUAUAGCCUAGGGAGCAGCCCGACAUGAUAAGACAUAAAUGCCCUUCAAUGAUAUGACCGUUAGGUGGAUAAGAUAUUUUGGACAGCCGGCGCGCAGCACAGCAACGGUCGGAAAUUUGACUCUCAAAUUCCUCAGGGCUAUCAUGUUCCUCACUAUGUAGGCAAUUCGCACAGGCAAAUUCCUAACUCCUCAGUCAGAGCAAAGUCCUCAGUGACCAGAAGAACUGCGUCUCUGUCACUGAAGAAAUUGACUGAACUGUAUGAGAUUUCCAAUGGCUUCACUCGAAGGGAUUGGUAGGUGUAGGAUUUUGAGUUGAGCAUCACAUGGAAAUUUUUCCUUAGUAUUUCCUCGACCCCCUUUAACAGUACGGUGUUUCCUAUGACUCAAGAAAGAGAAAAUGAAACUACGAAAACAAAAGUCUUCACGCUCCAUAUUCCUCGAAUGAAUACCAAGUCUUCAAGGUCACACCAAUUUCUUCACUUUCAAAGUCUUCAGAAAGUCUUCAGAAUAUCAAAGUCUUCAGUCGAAGAACUUCAUUUUUAGGGGUCGACUUUCUCUGUAAAUAUCAAACUCCUCAUAGACUUAUAGACCUGUGUACACUCACAAACGCAUCAGUCACUUACCUAUAAGUCUUCAAUACACCAAAAUCACUAAGGGGCACUAGAUGCACUUACAGAAGGCAAAAAAAAUGAAAAAAAAUUAUGAAAUAGUUUUGUGAAAACAAAUUUACCCAUUGCAUUUGCCAUGGUGUAGAAAAGGAAUUUACCAUGGUUUUGUUCAACAAAUGUGUACAAAGAAACACAGUUAUCAUGAUUUGUUCGGCAAUAUGAAAACAAAUUUGCCCAUGGAAUGUUCAAAAUAUUUUUCAUGGUGUACAAAAGGAAUCUACCAUGGUUUCUUCAAAAAAUGUCUUCGAAAAAGUAUUUUUACCAUGGCUUGUUCAACAAAUUUGCCAUGUUCCAAAAAUAAUGAAUAAAAUUUACCAUGGUCUAACAAGUAAAAAAAUUCUAUGGUCCAACAAAUAUUCUCGCCCUACUCCACCAACAUCGGGGGCCUCGCGCCGCCUUCGAACGCCAACUACGCCAUGUCUCUGGUAUGUUCACACCUGUGUUUAGGGAAAAUACGAGUAGUUUAGAAAUACAUGCUAAUGUUUCUUAGUUUUAUUUCUGUUUAGGGUAAAUAUAAGUACAAAUUUGAUUGAUAUUUUACGCAGGUUAAAUUUGAGUAUUAUGUCUUACUGUUAUUUGUGCCUAGAGUGAAUACGAUCGACUAAUUUAGAAAUAAGAUACAUUGUAGUGUGGUUGUCUUAUAUUUGCAGGUAUUGACAUGAGUGCCAAUGUUCUCACGAAACGUUGAUUUAUUUCUGUUUUAUUCAAUUUCUGGCACUUGUUAUGUCCUCUUUUUAGCAAGGGUCAUGUCGAAUUUUUUCUUGCAUAUUCCUCCUAGGAUCCAUUGUAGUGUGGUUGCCUUAUAUUUGUAGGUAUUGACAUGAGUGCCAAUGUUUUCGCGAAAUGUUGAUUCAUUUCUGUUUCGCUGAAUUUCUAGCACUCGUUAUGUCCUCUUUUUAGCAAAGGUCAUGUUGAAUUUUUUUUCUUUCAUAUUCCGCCUAGAUACAUUGUAGUGUGGUUGGCUUAUAUUUGCAGGUAUUGAGAUGAGUGCCAAUGUUUUCGCGAAACGUUCAUUCAUUUUUGUUUCGUCGAAUUUCUGGCACUCGUUAUGUCCUAAUUCUAUAUACCUAAAAGAUUCAUGAGUGCCAAUGUUUUCGCGAAACAUUGAUUCAUUUUUGUUUCGUCGAAUUUCUGGCACUCGUUAUGUCCUAAUCCUAUAUACCUAAGAGAUUCAUCCCCACUAUCAUAUUUAUCUUGACAUGCAAGCUAUCCACAUCAUCAAGUAGGUCCAUCAUUUAAAAAUUCUUUUCCACUGACUCUUCAUGCGCAUGCAGUCUACCACAAAUAAUCAUUAACUAUUUUUCUCAUGCACUCUCAAGCAAGCACGCCAUCCUAUGUCUCUUUUGCUAUUUGUAUAUGUAUUGACGUCAUCCGAGCUGCUCCAAACGUACAUCAUGAGUCCCCGUCCUAUCAUUUGGUUGGACUUCAAGUGUUGUUAAUGCUCUCUUUUGAUUCUGAAAGCUCGAACGACUGUCUUUUUUUCAUCCUCAUUCUCUUGCGCUUUUGUCCAUGUCUCUGUUGCUCCUCAGAGGUCAGAGAAAUUGCAUUAGAUGCAUUCGGUCCCUCAAACCUCCAAUGUUCUAAGCAUCCUUUUAAUAUCAAUUUGAUUCCAUUGCUCACGGAGCGGUGGCUCAUCAAGUUUUUCCUUUUAAAGAACCCACUAUUCCCAUGCAACCUUUUAAUCCCAAUUUUAUUCAUUUGCAUACGCCCAAAGCUAAUCAGAACUUUUUAUGACGGAACUAAAGUUCACCUAAUGGGGUGGCAUGCAUGGUUGCGCACGAGACAAGUUAAACAAAAAAAAACUUUGUUCCCUCAAACCUCAAGUGUUCUAAGCAUCCUUUUAAUCUCAAUUUAAUUUCAUUGCCUACAAAGUGGUAGCUCAUCAAAUUUUCUUUUGAAAGAAUCCACUAUUCCCGUACAACCUUUUAAUCCCAAUUUUAUGCAUUUGCAUACACCCAAAGCUAAUCGGACUUUUUUUAUGACGGAACUAAACUUCACCUAAUGGGGAGGCAUGCAUGGUUGCGCACCAGACAAGUCAAAAUAAAAAAAUAAUUUCCUCGGUAUAUUGUGGUGAAUGAGCGACCUCUGUAAGUGACCUUUUUUAAUAGAAAAUCAAAUUAUGAGUGAACUCGCAUUUUAUUUUACUAUACAAGCUCUGUUUUUUUUAAUGAAUGCACAUAUAUAGUUGAUAUUGUUGUUUUUGGUUUAGCCAAGAAUGAGAUGUCUCCACUGUCUCUACGCAGUGCUGUUUUCACUUCAUAAUGCAUCACUGAUAUAUUGUCAAGGUAAUAAAUUAAUAGGGCAAAAGUCACACCUAUUUUCAGUUUUCAUCAAAAUUCCUACAAAUGCUUACUCUAAACAAUAUUUCUUCCAAACAAAUUCUUUACAUCUACUUAUACUAUCUUUCAUAUACCUUUUAUGUUUUUAAACAUUAAAUUAUUCAAUUAAAAUUCCUGCAGCAAUGCGCGAGUUAUCAUCUAGUUUUAGUAAAGGUCAUGUCAAAUUUUUUCUUUCACAUUUUUCCUAGUAUCCAUUCUAGUGUGGUUGGCUUAUAUUUGUAGGUAUUGACAUGAGUGCCAAUGUUUUCAUGAAACGUCGAUUCAUUUUUGUUUCGCCGAAUUUCUGGCACUCACUAUGUCCUCCUUUUAGCAAAGGUCAUGUCGAAUUUUUUCUUUCAUAUUUUGUUUGUUAUGCUUUAUGACUCAUCAUUGCCACACUAAAUUUUAGCAAACACAACAAAUGGAUUCCGGAGAACCAUCUUCUAUGGACCACACAGUUAAGCUCGUAUAAAGGGCAGAACUCGAAAGAUGAAAUCAGCCAAUGAACCUAUCGCCAAUAAGGCACCAAAAGAAGAUGUGGUGAAUAUUUCAGCCGGUUCAUGCAUAUGGCGAAUGUUUAAGCCUGGUCAACUGAUGUUACUCCAACACAAGUUUAGUGCCCUAAGCAUUGAAACUCAGUUUCUACACAAAGACGUAGUACGUCAGGAAAGGGCGAGAUGUAUUACACGGCCAAUGUUAUAGACAGUCUUGGAUUUGUCGACGUGCUCCCUGCUGAUAAAAUAUAUCUCGGGUUUGAUAGUGCGGUAAACAUCAAUAUUUUUCUAUGUGGACGUAGUCAGGUCGUGCUUAAUGAGGCUUUGGUCGCUCUGGCAUGCUACAAAUUCAAUACUCCAGAAUAGAGAAGUUGCCUUCCUUUAUCUGUAUCUCAUGCGUUUUGCCGUGCAUUAUGAUAAAGGCCAGUACGACACUGAGACUUGCCUCCACCGGACCAUUCUUCAUAGUCCUUGGACAAGGAUAACUUUAUCGUGCCUUACUUUGAAAUGCAAGUUCAUUCCUUUAUGCUUUCACAUAUGCCUGACUACUUCGAUGUCAAUCUCAUUCUUUUACAUUGUUCAUUUGUUUAGCGCAACAAUGAACACUGGAUCGUUAUCGCACUAAUGCCCCGGGACGGCCGAGCUUAUUUCUUUGAUUCCAGGAGAGACCCUAACAAGCUGUGGACCGAUCUAAAGUAAGUUCUCAAUGCUGCUCUUUUGAUGUUUCAUAAGUCCGACCAUAAGAGCAUGCCACAUUCACACUACAAAUUUCACACCAGCUUCUUGUCGGCAACAACCGAAAGACGAAACCAUGCACAUAUCUGGCUACUAUGCCAUGGACCUCAUGGAUGACUAUGUGCGCGCAUGACCACUUUUGAGAAGUCAUUCAAUGUUGCAGGUGCGAAGAGAAUGAGAAGGAAGUUAGGCUAACUCACUUUUGGGCAGAGCAUGAGCGCCUUCACAGGGUGCUCGCGAAUAUCAUCAAUCAAUGUAGCCAGGGAUGAGGGGAUGUUCUACUGCGGAGCAGAGAUGUAAGAAGAACAAGAGUUGAGAAUGAAACAUCAAAAUGCCGACGGAUGUUUUCGCUAAAGGAUAUAUAUGCUCCUUUCGAAAGAGUUAAAUAGUCCGGAGGUGCCUUAAGUUGUCUGGCACGGUCAUGUUGGUGCCCAAAGUUGUAAAAUACGUGAAAUUAGUGCUAUAACUUGUCCUAUGAUGCAAAUACGGUGCCUACGUACGUAUCCGAGUGUACGUCCUGCCCAUGUGGCCUUGGCCCACAUGUCAGUGGAUGACAGCUGAUGAGGUGUGCGUGAGAACUUUUUUGCAAAAAAUACCCGCAUAUUCUUUUAGUAAUAAUUACAUAAGAAAGCCAAAUAUGGGUCGCACGUGUCAGUCUGUUAAUACCGCAGAAAAACAAACUGCCUCGCUGAUGGGUUUGAAAAAUGGGACGUCCAGGUUCAAAACCUGCACGCUAGCCACCGGGUAGAAGACUACUAUAAGUACAACUGCUAGAAAAAAAGAAAAAUUCUGACCGGCGCUCUGCAAUCUCCUUUUAUGUUAUUUACCUUUUUUUUCAAUUUACUACUGUUUAGUCAUAUAUAAAUUACAACAAUUAUGAAUAUUUGAUUAUUGUCUAUUUUAAAUCUUUAUUAUAUUUUCAUUAUUGUGUAGGUUGAAUAGGUAAACAUGAACAUUUUCAAAAAUUUAUGUGAAUUUAAACAGUUCAAUGUAUAUUAUAAAAUAUUGUAAAUGUGUUAAAACAUGUUAAACAUGUUUGUAGAAAUUUUAAAUUCUGUAAAUGUGUUAAAACAUGUUUGUAGAAAUAUAAAAAUAAGUUUAUACAAUGAUUUUUUAAUACACCUUGAACAUUUUUUAACUAUAUGUUGUCAAUUUUUUGAAUGCAUGACAUACUUUUUUAAAACACAUUUACAAUUUCUUAAUACAGCUGAGACUUUUCCAAAAAUAUGUUGAACAUUUUUUUCUAAUGCACUAACAUUUUAUUUAAGUUAAUGGCAGUUCUAGUAUUUUCUUUCAUUUAUUUUUUAUGAGGAAAAUAAUAUAGAAAUAAACAUGAAGUUGAAAAAUAAAUAAAAAGAAACCUUGUCCGAGCCAACAAUAUAUUAAAAAAGUUUGAAAAGAUAAAUACCAAUGCGACAUCUAUAAGUUGAAUAUACGAGGGUUUCCUGUAAAAAGAAUGCUCAUGCGCGGGCCAUCCACCGACAUGUGGGACAUGGCCGCUUUGGCAUGCCACGUAGUAGGACAUACACGUGAAUACAUACAGACACACCGCAUUUGCACCAUAGGACAAGUUAUAGCACCCGUUUUGUGUAUUUUAUAACUUUGGGCACCAAACUGACCGCACAAGACAAGUUAAGGCACCACUGGUGUAUUUAACUCCUUUCGAAAAACUUGUCAAACUUUAAAUUAGGUCAUAACACAAUGCUUGUUGUCUUGCAUUACUGUAUUAAUUACCUUGUGAUCUUUAGUUUAUAUGUACGUGUGUCGUAUGUUCUUAUGAAUUACCUUGUGAUCUAUAGUUUAUAUGUACGUGCAUAUGUUUAUAUGUACCCUGUGAUCUUUUCUACAUGUAUAUAUUUUGAAUGUUAUUGUGUGCUAAAAAUAACGGAUGGGACCGCAAGAAGAAUUGUGGGAGAGGGUCUCUGCAGCCGACGUGGAGAAGCACUAUCUAUGGACGCAACAUCGGGCAGAGCACCUUAGAGAGGCGACGUUAUCUUGGGUCAGAAAUGUUCCAACGGCCCAGUGUUCUCUAGUGAUGGAGAAGAUAUCAGAGAGGCGGUUCAAUGACCUCGCGGUCUGCAUCCCGACGAAGGCGCCCCCGGAUGAGAGGUUGAGGAUCUGGCCAGGUUUGAGUCCAACCACCAUACCCACGCCGGGUGAGGUAGUUAAAUGGGCUCUUCGAGAGACCAAAUCUCCGAUUCCAGAGCAAGCGGCCCGAUGGUUCCUGUUCGUUCCAUCCACUAGUCAUUCAUAUAGUAUGUACGGGUUCUAGUAACACUCUACGUGUUGAACAUCGCCCGACACUCUUUCACUCCUAAACAUCUCGUCAAACGGUGAUGAGCUACAUAUGCUUGUUAUUGUAAUGCACUUGUCGUAAUCCAAUGAUCCAAUUUAGGUGCAUUAUGCUGCAAUAGCAUCAACUCAUCAUAGAUUAGUACUAGUGGCGGACGGAACAAAGCGCCUACAAUUGCUAAAUUAAAUUUCGGUGGCAGGCGAAGACAGACGCCCGCCACUUCUAGUGUGCUAUCACUGGCGAGCGAGCGCCCGCCACUGAUGGCAUGUUAGUAGUGGCGGACGCCCCUGAGAGUCUUGCCUGUCAUUGGUAGUCUUUUUAUGCCUGUCGUGCUAGGCAUUCCUACAGUAGUGUGUCAGGGCACAAGGUUGGAUGACCGACUCCCACCUCAUUCCACGUGCCCGCCCGGUCUGCACACAAACAUGCCGUCGUUUUGAGAGCGGAGAUGCCCUAAGUCUUGUUGUGACAAAUAUAAAAACAAAUGUGUGAGAAUCUUGUGUCUUUACGUAUGACAUAUGUCCUAUCUGUUGAAGUUUUUCAUAUUGGGAAAAGACAAUGAUCCCAUCUCCCUAUGCACUGACCAAAAAUGGCGGUUAAUUUAGACGAAAGUAGGUAAGUAUGCGUAAAGAAAUUGCAGUUACCGUUGUUUUCCUCGUCGUGGGGCAGAGCGUGUGCUUAGCCGAAAAAUAUAUUUCUCUCACUCUCUCUCCCUCUUGAACACUUGCAUUGUGUCGACUCAUCUGGUAAAGCAAGUAUAUUCAUGAGUGCAACUAUCUAGCAAUCCAGAGACAUAGCUUGGGGUACGCACGUGAAGCUAGCUCCGGGAGAGCCGCGAGAGCCGCCGAGACGGAUCUGUGACGGCGAUCGGAUAUACGGAUUGGUUCAGAUCAGAGACGGUGAUGAGCACGCGGGAUCCAUCUCGGCGGCUCUCGCGGCUUGGCGAGGCGGGGUGGGAGCCCUCCUCCUAGGCUCCAGUGGUGGCACACUCCGGCAGUGGCCGGUGCGCCAGGGCUCCUACGGUGGCGCUGCUGUUGCGGUUGGUUGUCGGAUCUAGGCAGCUAGAUCUGGGGCUUUGAAGGCGGUCGAGACGGUGCACAGGUUGUCGGGUUGAUUACUUGGGACGGAUCCGGGUGAAAAAAGCCCGGUCUUCGGUCGAUGGCCGGAGCCGGUGAUGACGAUGCCCUUAUCAUCGUUUCCUUCAUGAAGGCAUCAUCGAGGUGAAGCUCCCAACUCCACUCAAUACCUCCGGGGAAAACCCUAAAUCAGUUGAUCGGAUGUUGGGGGCAAUCAUGUGUCGUUACCCCCUUGGAGGCGGCAUUCUUGGAGGUGCACUCGGCCUCCUGGGACCAGCAGACGGUCUCUUCGGCGGAGCGGUGUUUCUCUCUACAUAUCCAUGGCGGCGGGUCUCGGCGGCGUGGAGCAGUGGAGGCUCGACGUUCGAUGUGUGGCAAUGGACACGCGCAGGAGGAGGACGCUGUCUGGCGGCGUGGUGGCGUCGAUGCAGAGCGGCCUGGCAAGGUCGGUGCGUCAGUUAUGCUCUAAGGAUGGAUCGAUGGAAGAUGGAGAUGACGGUCCUUGCAGCGUGCGGUGCUUACUGGGAGUGUGCCGGUUCGGUGUGUGACCCAGUCCAGGUAGUUGCUUGGAUGGGGCAUCCGGCUUUAAAUGUUAUGCUUUGGUGCGAUGUUUGUUUGGUAUUAGGCCCGGACGUUCGGCACGCUUUCAUCAAAGGGAUAGGAGUAGCAACAGUUGUUGCCAAGAUGGUGGCUUCAGACUAAUUGAUGUAAUACCUUGUAUGGUCCUGGUGAAUAAUUAAUAAAAUGGUUGCAUGCAUCAUUCUGAUGCAGAGGGCGGGGAUACAUCCUCCUUUUCUAAAAUAAUAAUAAUAAUAAUAAUAAUAAUAAAGUAGCUAGUUCGGUAAAAAAAAAGUGUAUCCUGGUUAUGUACUGAUGCGUUCAAUGAACUCUCUCUGAUUAAUUGAUAACACCCAUAUGAUGCGCAUCAGUCCAUGCGGAGUGACCUCCUUUCCCGAAAACACACACACCAAAUAUGCAUCAGAAAUGGCCUUCAGGCCAGGUUGAUGUGCUCGUAAUCCCACAAAUUGCAGUCACAAAGUACAUGUGAAAUAUUUGAUUAAUUCUAUUUUUACCCUAAGUUUCAAGUUUGUGACUGCCAUUACCUCAUCUAGCAGAUUUUUCACAUUUUUACUCUAUUAAGCAAACCUGUGUGCCACAGUUUACCCCUUUAAGAAAUGUCGAAAAUCUGCUAAAUGGGGCAUGUGUUGUCACACACAUGAAACUUAGGGGUAAAAAGUGAAAUUAACUAUAAUUAUUUUUGGAUUGAGUAAACUCAUUAUGCUGUCAUAAUGAGAUUCCAUUUGAUGUUAAAUGGAUAAUUAUCAGGUAUACAAUGGUACCAGCUUCAGUAUACCUGGGUUUUACUGCGGCAAUCAUUUGGGUUGGGAAGGUAAUCAUAUUGAUUUCCAAUAAGCUAUUUAUCUUCAUUUCUCUCCGGCUCACAUACAUACCUUUCACAAUGCAGGGCACAUAUCUUACCUCUGCUGCCCUCAGUCAUGCAAGAGACAAUAAUCUACCUGAUGGCCCGGCUGUAGGAAGAUUUAAUGGAGAGUUCUGGGGAGUGUUCGCUAGUACGCAGGUACAGAAAAGAUGUGAAAAACAAACUAUUUCUAGCCGAAGUUAACAUGGAAACAUAUGCUUCGGUAUUUUUUUCCAUACCUCGAGUGUUUUUCUUUUCUUUUCGAAAAGGUGGUGUACCCCGGACUCUGCAUUAACUGAUGCACACAACCAUCAUACCUCAAGUGUAGCUUCUAUUCUUCUUGCACAUAAGAAACAUACCCUCUACAGUUACAACGGUACAAUGAUCUCCGACUUGGUGACUUGUGCUACAUCUGAAUUAUGCAGGUCAUUGGAAAUCUGAUCUCAUUUGUUGUACUGCGAAAUAGAAAGGUUGGUAUCUUAAUUCAGAGUGUUAUUAGAAUCCUGUGGACUGCAAUUUACUUGCACAACAUAUGUAGUCAUCUUGUUUGAUCCUUCACUGUCAUAUCACGUCAGGGUGGCGGAACUGUAACAGGAAAAAAUCUGUUGUUUCUUGUGUUCCUUGGCUGCACGGUUAUCGGCAUUGUAUUAAUGUGUUUACUGUCCAAAAGAGAUGAGAAACAAGAUCAUUCUUCAGCACACUCAUCGUUUGGAGAUAUGUUGAAGUGUAUUGUCGCCCCUCUCAAGGACAAAAGGAUGCUUCUUUUAAUUCCUCUUAUGGCAUAUUCAGGUUUACAACAGGCAUUUGUAUGGUAAGUUUCCCCCCAAAAGAGUUCGCCAUGCACGGUGGUUCAUUUGUUAGUGUGCUUUUUUUUAAGAAUAUGUUGUGGAUUUCUUAGGGCUGUAUUCACAAAGAGUAUUGUGACACCUGUGCUUGGCCUAUCUGGAAUCGGCGGCGCCAUGGCAGUAUAUGGUGUAGCUGAUGUAGUUGUAAGUGAAACUAUUAAACCUGAAGUCAACAGUUCAUGCUUCCCAAUAGAUUAUUUAAUCUUCAAUUGGGUCACUCAUUCAUUCUAAACUACUGAAAAAGACCAUGAUGUCUGCUUGCCUGAGUUUUGAAGCUUGUCGAACAUCGCAGUGUUCAUUGGUUGCUGGACGUUUUACUUCUGGGCUUCAGUCAGCUACAUUUGUAGUGUCAGUUGGAGCUAUUCUUCAGGCUGCUGUCCUCUUCUGGCUGCUUCUCUUUUACCAGUUUGAUUUCUUUGCUCGCCCUCGUGCAGUUUCUGCUAUUUUCGGUGCACUCAUCUUUGUCUUCCGUGCAGCCCAAUGGGCAGAUUACUUGGCGCAGCGGCUCCACUAUUGAUAGGUGCCUUAUGGGGUGUUGGUAACGGAGUCCUGAACACACAGCUAAGUGCUUUACUUGGGCUGCUCUUCGAGGAUGUCAAGGUAAUCUUAGUUACGUACAUGAUAAUGCUUGAUUUAGUUUGCUCUCUUAUAGUAGUAAUUUUCAUCCUGUCAAUGAAUGCACCAAAUAUGUAUGGAAAAAUAAAAAAAUGCAGGAGGCGGUUUUUGCGCAGUUUAGGGUCUGGCAAUCAGGUGCCAUGGCAGUCAUCUUCUUCCUCAGCCAAGUCAUCACACUGCAAGCCAUGCUUAUCUUGUCCACAUCGCUCGUCGUCUCUUUUGCCUCCUUCCUGACUGUAGAAGACUAUAGGAUGCAACUCAAUUGUAUUCCAUCGGAGUCGGUUACAUUAUAUACAAGAGGUGUCUUGCGUGACAAGCCAACUAACUCUAUAAUAUCUCUAGAGAUCAAUCUAUACAAGGCUAGAGAUAAGAGGAGAAUCAGUCGGAAAUAAAUACAAGGAUAUCACGUUUCAACACCCCCCCGCAGUUGAAGCGUCGGCGUCGUCGUCGGCGUCGGCGAUGCAAAGACUGGAACGGAACUCCUGGAAUGCAGCGGUAGGCAAUCCCUUGGUCAUGAUAUCGGCGAACUGUUGGGUGGUCGGUACAUGAAGUACACGGAGCUGACCCAACUGAACCUUCUCACGGACAAAGUGAACAUCGAGCUCGAUGUGUUUAGUGCGCUUGUGCUGCACCGGAUUAGCCGCGAGAUAGGUGGCCGAUACGUUAUCACAGAAGACCACAGUAGCCUUCGGAAGAGAAAUCCGAAGCUCACCAAGAAGAUGACGAAGCCAACAAGUCUCUGCAACAACAUUGGCGACAGCACGGUACUCAGCCUCAGCACUCGAACGGGAAACAGUGGGCUGCCGUUUAGAGGACCAAGAGACCAAGGAGUCACCGAAGAAGACACAAUAUCCAGACGUGGAGCGACGAGUGUCUGGACAGCCAGCCCAAUCCGCGUCAGUAUAAGCGAGGAGCUCAGUCGAGGCGGAUGCACGGAGACGAAGACCGUAGGUCGGAGUGCCACGAAUAUACCGAAGAAUGCGCUUGACCAAAGACCAGUGGACAUCACGAGGCGAGUGCAUAUGCAGGCAAACUUGCUGGACUGCGAACUGAAUGUCUGGUCUGGUGAGCGUGAGGUACUGAAGGGCGCCCACAAUACUGCGAUAAAGAGCAGCGUCGGUGGCAGGCUGGCCGGCGGAGGCUGAGAGCUUCGGCUUGGCCUCAGCAGGUGUGGCGGCUGGUUUGCAGUCAGUCAUGCCGGCACGGUCCAGAAGAUCAAGAGCAUACUGUCCCUGAUGCAGAAAGAACCCAGUGUCAUCACGUCGCACAUUAAUGCCGAGGAAGAAGUGCAAUGCGCCGAGAUCCUUCAGUCGAAACUCAGAACCGAGGCGACCAAUGAUGUCGCGAAGAAGAUCCGUGCGGGAGGCAGUGAUGACAAUAUCAUCAACAUAGAUUAGAAGCAUAGCCACAUGAUCAGCCCGAUGCAGCACGAACAGGGACGUGUCAGAUGUAGUGCUGCGAAACCCAAGAAGACCAAGGAAUCCGGCGAUGCGCUGGUACCAAGCGCGCGGAGCCUGUUUGAGGCCAUAUAAGGACCGGGACAACAGACAAACAUCAUCCGGCCGCUGAGGGUCAACGAACCCAGUGGGCUGCUGACAGAGGACUCGCUCCUGAAGAUGGCCAUACAGAAAAGCAUUGUUGAUGUCGAGCUGAUGGACGGGCCAGUGACGAGAAGCAGCCAGCUGAAGCACCACACGAAUCGUGGCGGGUUUGACGACCGGAGAAAAAGUCUCAGAGAAGUCAACGCCAGCACGUUGUGCAAAUCCGCGGACAACCCAGCGAGCCUUGUACCGAUCCAGUGAGCCAUCCGGAUGGAGUUUGUGACGAAAAACCCACUUGCCCGAGAUGAUGUUGGCUCCAGGAGGACGAGGAACAAGGGUCCAGGUCCGGUUGGCGACGAGAGCAUCGUACUCAGCUCGCAUAGCGGCGGUCCAAUGCGGAUCACUCAACGCAGAACGCACCGAUCGCGGAACCGGAGAGAGGGUCGUGACGCUGAGGUUGUGGUAGCGCGGGUUCGGCUGGUGCACACCGGCCUUGGCACGCGUCACCAUAUGAUGGUGAGGUGGCGGAGGAGGUGGGCGUGGACCGCGACGCCGAGGCACCACAGCGACCGGCUCAGAUGACGAAGAAGAAGCCGGCGCUGUGACGGGUGUCAAGGGCCCGGCCGACGGGGCCGAGAGGGUCGGCUCCUCCAGAGCCGACAGGGAGCCGGAGUGCGCACGCUCGGUCGGCGAUGUGGGCGUAGAGGAGCCCGAAGAGCCCGGCUCCGCCUGAGCCGACGAGGCCCCUGAUGGUCCGGCUGGGGUGGCGCCCGACUCCACCAGAGUCGGGGGGCGACGACCCAACGAGGCCGGGGGGACGGGCUCCUCCAGAGCCAAGAGGCGGGGGCCCGGCGUGGCCGGGGAGGCCGACUCCUCCCGAGUCGGCAGAGGGAACGCCGAGGGCGGCGAGGCAGCACGCGACGAAGGCGCAGCCGCGCCCGAACGGCGAGGCGGUGGGAGCGCAAGGGCUCCACGAGGCCUGCGAGGAGAGGUGUCCAGAGGUGGCGAGGGACGCGAUGCAGCCUGCUGAAACGAAAAAACAACCUCAUCAAAAUACACGUGCCGAGACACGAUCACACGAUGGGACUCCGGGUCGUAGCAAUGGAAACCUUUGGUGUUUGGUUGGUAGCCAAGAAAAACACAAGCGAUAGAGCGAGGCGCAAGCUUGUGCGGUGUCGUGGCGGUGAUAUUGGGAUAACAAAGGCAACCGAAAACAUAAAGAUCAUCGUAUGACGGAGGUGACCCAAAUAAGAGGUGAUGAGGGGUGUAGUUCCACCGAGGUUUGCAAGGCCGGAUGUUAAGGAGAAGGGUAGCUGUGGCGAGCGCAUCGGGCCAAAACCUCGCCGGCAUGUGUGCGUGGAAGAGCAAGGCGCGAACACUCUCGUUAAGAGUGCGGAGAACACGUUCGGCACGACCAUUUUGCUGAGAUGUGUAUGGACAUGUGAGACAAAAAAUUGUGCCAUGAGAGGAUAAAAGAGUGCGAAUGGCGAGGUUAUCAAAUUCUUUUCCGUUGUCGGUUUGGAGGUGAGCAAUGGUGCGGUGAAAGUGGGUGGCAACAUAGGCGUAAAAGGCAUGAAGAGAGGAAGCGACGUCGGAUUUGCGGCGCAACGGAAAGGUCCAAGUAAAGUGAGAAAAAUCAUCCAAAAUGACAAGGUAAUAUGAUAAACCCGAGUUGCUAGGCACGGGAGAUGUCCACACAUCACAAUGAAUAACAUCAAAAGGGAAAGUAGCAAUGGAUGAUGAAGUUGAAAACGGCAAACGAACGUGUUUUCCUACGCGACAGGCAUGACAAGUGUGUGCUGCCGAUUUAUUACAUGAAAAGGGAAAAGUCUGCAAAAUUUUAUGAAGAGCGUCGGCGCCGGGAUGGCCAAGGCGAGCAUGCCAGAGAGACUCAUCGGCGUGGAGGGCGACGGGACCACUGCUUGUCGUUUGGCCACACGGGUAAAGAUCGCCGGGGGAGUCACAUCGGUGCAGAACCUUCCGGGAGUGGGCAUCCUUGACAGAAAAACCAUGUUUGUCAAACUCAACAGUAACAGGAUGUUCACGAGUAAGAGUGCGGACAGAACAUAAAUUUUUGAUUAAGGAUGGAGACACAAGUACGUUAUGGAGAGGGAGGGAAGAUGAUGAGAGAGGGAGGGAGGAUGCACCGUGGUGGGUGAUGGGAAGAGUGGAUCCAUCACCGACGACGAUGCGAGAAGACAUAGGGUACGGGGAGACAUGAGAGAGGAUACCGAGGUUGGACGCCAUAUGAGCAGCGGCGCCUGUGUCCAUGUACCAGUCCCCGCCGCCAGAGUAGUUGCUUGGGGAAGGGGCGGCGUGGAGGGCGGCUAGGAGCGCCGGGUCGUAGGUGUAGCCGGUCGGUGCAGCGCCGUAGGAGGAUGAUGAAGCAGCACCGGGAGCCAUGGCCCCGGUGUACGCCGAAGAACCGCCGAGUCCGGGACCUCCGGGCGCGGCCAGGAGAGCCUGAUGAAGACCCGGGCGAGGGCCAAGUAUGCCCGGAGCGGGUGCCCGCGGAAGGGGCAUCGAGUAGGCAUGCACCACCCCCGUCCAGGGGUUGUACCCCGUGAGCCAGGGCGGGGGCGCCGCGGCCUGAGCAGGAGCGGGCGGGGCUGGGUGCCGCCGUUGCGGCCGCGGCCGUCGCGACCUCCCCGCCUCUUCUGGCGGCCCUGGUCAGGGGCGGCGGGCGGUGGUGGAGCCGCGGCGCGAGGAGGCUGCGGGAGGGCGGGGAUGCCCUUGGUGGUGCCGGCGUGGAGGGCGGCGAGAGGAGCUUGCCGCGCCGCGUGACGAAGGCGCUUUUCCUCCAUGCGAAGGUACGUGACCGCCUUGGCGUACGUCGGCGUGAGGAGGGAGAGGUUGGCGGCGGACUGGCCGAGGUCGGGGUGGAGGCCGCGAAGGAGGUUGGUGAGGAGGACGGAGUCGUCGAUGUUCAUGCCGACAUCGCGGAGUUCGUCUGCAAGAACCUUCAUCCGCGUGCAGUACUCGUCGAUCGAAAGAUCGUUUUGCUGCAUGGUGAAAAAAUCACCUUGGAGGAAGACACGGCGUUGGAGUUGAUUGUCGAGGAAGAGAUCGCACAGCCGUGUCCACAUGGUGUACGCCGACGGAUCGCGGGAGUUCACCAUGUUGAAGAGGCCGGGAGAGAUGGUGAGGAAGAGCCACUUGACGAUGCAGGCGUCCACAGCGAGCCACUCGUCGUCGUCCUUCAUGUCGGUGUAGUCGACGCUCCCGUCAACGUGCUCGAUGAGACGGUAGGAGCGGAACAAUAGCGCAAAGUACGUGCGCCAUGCGUUGUAGGACGGCGAGUCGAGGUCGAGGAUGACCGGAACAUGGUCCUUGAUGUGGAUCUCAUUGAGGCGAUCGGAGGCGAACGUGGUGCCGGAGAAGGAGCCGGCGUCGGAGGCAGAGGGUUUGGCCAUGGAGAUGGUUGGGGUUUUUGGGUGAGAGGGGUAGAGCGGCGGCGGCUACAGGAGGUACAGAGGAGCGGUGGCGGCGGUUAGGGUUUUGGGAGGGAGAGGUGGCGGCAGGAGGAGAGGGUGCGGCGGGAGUAGAGGCUGCGGCGACGACGGGUUGCGGAAGCGAUAGGAUCACGGUAAAACUGAUACCAUGUAGAAGACUAUAGGAUGCAACUCAAUUGUAUUCCAUCGGAGUCGGUUACAUUAUAUACAAGAGGUGUCUUGCGUGACAAGCCAACUAACUCUACAAUAUCUCUAGAGAUCAAUCUAUACAAGGCUAGAGAUAAGAGGAGAAUCAGUCGGAAAUAAAUACAAGGAUAUCACGUUUCAACACUGACACUCACCCUUGUUGUCGACAAGUCAUCAUCAACUAUCAGAAUGUGAGGCUAUUAUUUCUUUUUUUGAGGAAACUGAGGCUAUUAUUUCUCUCCUCGGGUUGAUCUAUUCUCCGUUUUUUCCAAAUUGGCCAAGUUACCCAUUGCAUAUUCGCACUUAUCGAGUAUAGAGUAGAUCUGCUUCUCUUUCUUCUUAUGAACAGAAUUGGCUUCUUAUCUUCAAUGGAAUGAAAUAAAUAUUCGCGUUUUCUGACACAGAAUCCCCUAGAAGGAUUAGGUACAUAGGAUAUGGAUAGUCUUUUUCAAUGCGAUAAAAUAAAGCGACAGCAUAUCUAUUUUUAUUUGCUAAAGGGGUAUUUCCAUGGGUUUGCCUUGGUAUCGUGUUCAUACUGUCGCAUUGAAUGAUCCGGGUCGAUUGCUUGCGGUGCAUAUAAUGCACACAGCUAGAGCAGUGGUUGGGCUGACUCAAUGGCUUUAUAUGAAUUAGCAGUUUUUGAUCCCUCUGAUUCUGUUUUGGAUCCAAUGUGGAGACAAGGUAUGUUCGAUGUUGUUGUUACCACGCGUCUUCACCAUUGUUAUUCAUUAGCAUGCAGUUCAACCCGAGUGUUAUAUCUCCUGCAUAUUUUUAGCAACGUUACAGUAAUACUAGGAACCAGCUGGAGAAUGCACGCUGAUACAGCUAUGGAUUCUCUACCUUGCCGUGGCAAAGGCCAAGGAAAAUUUGGUUGCCUUCUACAUCGUUCGAUAUAACAUAAGUUAUGAUUAUGGGGACUGGGGAAUCCGGUUGGCACAAAAAUAAAAAUCUAAGCACCACAUUCUCCAUACAUUCUGCAAGAUCAACAUUGUGUAACAUUUCCCCUUGUUAGAAUAAAUCUGAGGCGCUCCGUCAAUCUACCGAGGACCAAGCAAUCACACAAGCACGCCAACAAGAUUUGUUAACAAGGUUCACCGAUAUGGCUACAUCCUGGGGCCUGACUACGGGCGCUCCUCCCCGCGACACCGUCACAAUACCGCACCCCGGCCGCCCGGGCGCCGGCACACGCCGCCGGCUCCCCCGCGUGCCCGUGCUAUUAUGUUGACAUAUGUUACAUCGUGUGUCUACCCCCGAUAUAUAUGAGAUGCUUAGGAUACAAGUGUCCUAUUAGGACACAACUCCUACCCUGUCUACACACAGUCCAAAACCAAGUCCAACUGUAACCAACCUUGUACAAUAAUAUUCGACACAAUUCUAACAAACUCCACCUUGUCGAAUAUUCUCCACCACCUUGAAUUCGUCUGUGCGUCAAACCUCAAUGUACAUUGGACUUGAGAUACGUCAUGAGCACCGCUGCUACUCCCAGACUCCACGCGACUCCACCUGCAACUGUAGUCCCUUCUCGUCUUCCUCACAGUCAAUACUCGAGCAAAAUUAAGUUCCUCAAUACUCUACUUUGUGCUUCAAACUUCCGGAGAAUCCGUUCAACACCAUCACACACUGACCACUGUCUGCGUGAAAGUGAACAACUCACAUAUUGGGCGCCACAUAUAAGAAUUACAUGAACUCAACGUCACUGCUCUUUCUUGACCGUCUAUCUGAAACUUGAAGGAAUUUCACUGUCGCCCUGUGUCACUCUGAGUCAAAUUCACAGUUGUCUCAUCCUUUUCCUCGGAUAGUUUGUGACAUGUCCCAUAGCUAUAGCACUCCGCCUCCUUCUGUAUUUGUCAUCCGCACUUUGCCAUGUACACUGAACACCACAGAAUAUACGACAAUGUACUCUCUCAGGUUUUGACAAUUUUAGACUCUCCGCCACUUUCUCAGAUUGCCCAUGGUUAACUCUUGUCCAUCAACCGGCACCGAUAGACCCAGUCACCAACUUGAAUCCGGUACUCGUCAACACUGCUUCAGCACCCCCUUGCACACUUUGUCUGGCCACAUGUCUGACCACCAGUGCCUUGGCCUGUCGCUGUGUCCCGUGCUUACCGCACGCCUCGCCGCUAUCACCACGUCGAGCCUCUACUGUCCUGGUCGAGUCUCCCGGGUAGCUAGCCCCCACUGUCUCAACUCCCACUGCAGAGAACCACCGAUCAUCACCGACCGAUGCCGAGUAUCACGUCUCCAUCAGACCACUGGUACCCUUUCUGAACCACGUGUCUCUCGCUUUCUCGCUGAAAUAGGCUUCGACUCUUUGUCGACUUACGCCGUAACCCCUCCAUCAGCACAGAGUGAAGUCAUCCAUAAGACUCCAGUUCCACCUUUAACAUGACUCCAUGGUGGUUGUACGUGCCACCCCCGCGCCCCAUCGACUUCAAGCUCUCUCAUGUGUACACUGCCUUGAAUCAACCCUGCGCAAUAGUCUUGUCAAAGCCGCACAAGCCCUCAGGCCCGCACCACGUGUUUCCACGCCCCAGAAGUCAGCCACCAUCAGCAUCAUACUCCUAUGUCGUCGUCGCUGAAAUCACCGCCGUCUUCUGCUUUGACCAACAUCCAUGUUGAUCCAUCAGACUGUCCAGUCCGACCCAGCCGAAAUUAUCCGACUGCAACCAUGCUUCACCCCGCGUCGUGUCCGCCUCGCACUUCUGUGCAUUGCCUUGACGCCCUGUGUAUGCAUGAUCCUUCCACGACGCGCUCCAGACCCCUCCAAGCCUUAUAUGCACGACGUCAUCCUCGCCACGCACUCCAUCUUGACCAACUCGACAUCACACCACACUUUCAUCCGAGAAAUUAUUUGGACCCAAGCAGCUUCUUCGUGUCUGCAUUGCAAACAACAUAGAGGUCACGUUUUGCUCAAAACUCACGCCAUGCAUACUUCUUUGUCCAAAAACUACUUCCGAUGCCUCAAUUUGGCAACCUCAUGCGCCGGCUCCCAGGCGUCUUCCACGGCGUCCUGUACCUGACGCAAUGCCUGCAAUCAAAAUUUGCCAAAAAGAACAGAAAAGUUGAUCCCUUGAUUGAGCCUGCGCUGCCCGCGAAGAUAUGUUUCCUUUAACAAAUCUCUCGCUGCCUUUUCUGCAUCUGCCAAGAACGACCGUGAUCGCUACCUGCCGCGCCACUAGCAACAGCCCGCUCCGCGCACGAGACGCCCACGCCUGGGCUUUUGCGCUAUUGGCUUUGCCGCCCGCCUGGACUUCAGCCUCCUCACCAGUCACCUGGGCCGCUGGCCGCCCAGCGCUAGCGCGCACGUAGGCAUGUAUUCCACGCGUUGGCAGUACGCCUGCCUGAUAGAUUGAGAUAUUGGAGAAGUAAUUGUUGUAUUGAUCGGGGCCUCAAGGGCUGUUUAUAUAGAUUACAAAGCUUGGUCUCCAAGACUAGACUAAUAGAGAUAGAGUACAAUUUGAACUACCAAAUAUACAAACCGAAGAUAUNNNNNNNNNNNNNNNNNNNNNNNNNNNNNNNNNNNNNNNNNNNNNNNNNNNNNNNNNNNNNNNNNNNNNNNNNNNNNNNNNNNNNNNNNNNNNNNNNNNNNNNNNNNNNNNNNNNNNNNNNNNNNNNNNNNNNNNNNNNNNNNNNNNNNNNNNNNNNNNNNNNNNNNNNNNNNNNNNNNNNNNNNNNNNNNNNNNNNNNNNNNNNNNNNNNNNNNNNNNNNNNNNNNNNNNNNNNNNNNNNNNNNNNNNNNNNNNNNNNNNNNNNNNNNNNNNNNNNNNNNNNNNNNNNNNNNNNNNNNNNNNNNNNNNNNNNNNNNNNNNNNNNNNNNNNNNNNNNNNNNNNCCGGUGUAACAAUGUUGAGACUGGAUCGAAUGCCAGUGAAUGCUGCAGUAGGGAGCCCCUUGGUGAAAAUAUCAGCAAAUUGCGCAGUGGUAGGAACAUGAAGCACACGGACCUCGCCAAGAGCCACUUUUUCACGAACAAAAUGAAUAUCAAUCUCGAUGUGCUUGGUGCGUCGAUGCUGAACAUGAUUGGACGCCAUGUAGACUGCAGAAAUAUUGUCGCAAUACACAAUAGUUGCACGCUCGAUUGGUCGAUGGAGCUCAACCAAAAGCUGACGGAGCCACACUGCCUCGGCCACAGAAUGAGCAACAGACCUGUAUUCAGCUUCUGCAGACAAUCUGGAAACUGUAACCUGCCUUUUGGAAGACCAAGAAACAAGAUUGUCACCCAAAUAAACACAAAAGCCGGAUGUAGAUAGUCGAGUAUCUGGGCAACCCGCCGAGUCUGCAUCAGAAUAAACUGUCAAGCUUGUUGGAGAGGAAGAAUUAAGGAGAAGACCAUGAUCAAUGGUGCCUUUGAGAUACCGAAGUAUUCUCUUGACAUGAGAAUAAUGAGGAACACGAGGAUCAUGCAUAUAUAAGCAGGCUUGUUGAACAGAAUAAGAUAUAUCAGGGCGAGUGAGGGUGGCAUACUGGAGAGCACCAGUGAUACUGCGAUAUAGAGUAGGAUCAGAAAAGGGUUCACCAUCGGCCGACAGCUUAGUACCAACGUCGACCGGCGUACGACAAGGUUGACAGUCAGUCAUCCCUGCACGAGAGAGUAAAUCAAGAAUGUACUGACGUUGAGAUAGAAAGAGUGUAGAUGAAGUGCGGGAAACAGUGAUCCCAAGAAAGUGAUGAAGAGGACCGAGAUCAGUCAUGGAAAAUUCACGAUUAAGAGAAGAUAUAAUAUGUUGUAAAAAGGAAUCAGAAGAGGUAGUGAGAAUUAUGUCAUCAACAUAUAAGAGAAGAUAGGCAGUAUGGGAGGAGGACUGAAAAAUGAAGAGAGAUGAAUCAGAUUUAGAUGCGGUAAAACCUAUUGUGUGAAUAAAGGUGGUGAAGCGAUGAAACCAAGCACGAGGUGCUUGUUUAAGACCGUACAGAGAUUUGUGAAGAAGACAAACAAAAUCAGGAGAAGAGGAAUUCUCAAAACCCGAAGGUUGUUGACAAUAGACAGUUUCAUUGAGAGUGCCAUGGAGAAAAGCAUUUUUAACAUCAAGUUGAUGAAUAGGCCAAGAAGAGGAAACAACAAGACUAAGAACAACACGAAUAGUGCUUGGUUUAACAACAGGAGAAAAAGUCUCAUCAAAGUCAAUACCAUGCUGCUGGGAGAAACCAUGACACACCCAACGAGCUUUGUAACGAGCGAGAGUGCCAUCGGAAUGAAAUUUAUGAUGAAAAACCCAUUUUCCAGAAACAAUGUUAACACCAGAAGGUUUGGGAACAAGAGUCCAUGUAUUAUUUUGUUGAAGAGCUUCAAAUUCAUCACGCAUAGCGGAAAGCCAGAGAGGGUCAAGAAGAGCUCGCUUAUAACUGGUUGGAAUAGGAGAGAUGGUUGGGGUGGCGGUAAGAUUGAGACGUUUGGUGGGGAGAAGAAAUCCUCGUUUUCCACGGGUGCACAUGACAUGAUCAUUGGUGAGCGGUGGUAUAAGAACGGCAUUGGGUGGCAGUGGGUUUUCGGUUAAAGAAGACGGUGAGGAAGAAGAAUCAGAGGUGGUGGGUGUUGAGGUGGUUGCCGUGGUAGGAUGUGGUGAGGGAAAGAUGGAUGGGGUAGAGGAUGCAGUUGCGGGAGAGGUGGGGGACGGGGCAGGAGGGUGGCUGACGGUGGGCGAUUCCGGCGGAGAGACGGAACAAGACUCCAUGGCAGCAGAGAUGACUGAAGGACGAACUAGGGAAGGGGUUUUGGUGGUGGCGGAUUGUGGUGGAAUUGGUUUUGUGGUUGUAGUGACAGAAAAAGGAAAAGUAUUUUCAUCGAAUGUGACAUGACGAGAGAGAAUGAUACGACCAGAAGAUGGAUCGAAACAACGAUAUCCUUUGUGAUCAUCAGAAAGACCAAGGUGAAUGCAAGGUAGUGAGCGUGGUUCUAGUUUGUUGGAGGCGGUAGAGGCAAUGUUGGGAAAGCAUAGAGAGCCAAAAACACGCAGAAAAGAAUAGUCAGGGUGGGAGAGAAAAAGAGAUUGGAAAGGCGAAUAAAGAGGGCAAGUUUUAGUUGGUCGAAUAUUAAGAAGUAGUGUGGCGGUGCGAAGGGCUUCAACCCAAAAACGGGAAGGAAGAGAAGCUUGUAAAAGCAAUGUGCAAAGAACAUCAUUAAUAGAGCGAAGACAGCGUUCAGCUUUACCAUUUUGAGAAGAUGUAUAAGGGCAUGAAAAACGAAGAAGGAUGCCUUGAGAGAGAAAGAAGGUGCGGUUUUGGGU
RNAcentral lists this long non-coding RNA (43033 nucleotides) under Triticum aestivum (bread wheat). Its description in RNAcentral is "long non-coding RNA (TAES_LNC006834)". Lineage: Eukaryota; Viridiplantae; Streptophyta; Magnoliopsida; Poales; Poaceae. The record is from RNAcentral.